UUUUAUAGCCACUACUGUUAUUACAUAAACUGGGAAAGAAAUCGAAGAUUUCUUUCCACUUCUUGUCUGUUGUAUCUACCAUAUCUUUGAUUGUGAUCUGCUGAAAUCCUUUUAUUUUAGUUUCCUUUUUUGUUUUUUCGUAUCUGCUGUGUUUCCUUUUCUUGCAGGUGACUUGCGAAGAUUUCGGUGGCUGGGCUUGCUGUCAUGGAUUCGAAUCUCGGCAGAUACCCAUAUGACCACGAAAGAGUCUCUUUUGCGGAGAUCUCAGCGUCAACGGAGGUACCAAGGUCGGAGAUGAGGCCUGAGAUCACGGUGCUGGACGGUUGUGAGAGGGACAAGCUCCUAGACAACACAUUGAUGGUGCGUCAGUGUGCAUUGAUGGCCUCGAUUUGGG
Molecule: long non-coding RNA, 394 nt
Filed under: Gossypium barbadense (sea-island cotton)
Lineage: Eukaryota; Viridiplantae; Streptophyta; Magnoliopsida; Malvales; Malvaceae
Description: long non-coding RNA (GBAR_LNC010138)
Source: RNAcentral